This 202-nucleotide ribosomal RNA is filed under the name uncultured Staphylococcus sp. Its description in RNAcentral is "partial 16S ribosomal RNA". It matches the Rfam family "Bacterial small subunit ribosomal RNA", at positions 161 to 355 of the family's 1533-position model. The record is from RNAcentral. Lineage: Bacteria; Bacillati; Bacillota; Bacilli; Caryophanales; Staphylococcaceae.
AGCUAAUACCGGAUAAUAUAUUGAACCGCAUGGUUCAAUAGUGAAAGACGGUUUUACUUGUCACUUAUAGAUGGAUCCGCGCCGCAUUAGCUAGUUGGUAAGGUAACGGCUUACCAAGGCAACGAUGCGUAGCCGACCUGAGAGGGUGAUCGGCCACACUGGAACUGAGACACGGUCCAGACUCCUACGGGAGGCAGCAGCC